CAAUGGGCGCAAGCCUGAUCCAGCAAUGCCGCGUGAGUGAAGAAGGCCUCGGUUGUAAAGCUCUUUCAGUUGAGAAGAAAAGAUUGUGACUAAUAAUUGCAAUUCAUGACGGUAUCAACAGAAGAAGCACCGGCUAACUACGUGCCAGCAGCCGCGGUAAUACGUAGGGUGCGAGCGUUAAUCGGAAUUACUGGGCGUAAAGGGUGCGCAGGCGGUUCUGUAAGUCAGAUGUGAAAUCCCCGGGCUUAACCUGGGAACUGCGUUUGAAACUACAGAGCUAGAGUGUGGCAGAGGGGGUGGAAUUCCAUGUGUAGCAGUGAAAUGCGUAGAGAUAUGGAAGAACAUCGAUGGCGAAGGCAGCCCCCCUGGGUCAACACUGACGCUCAUGCACGAAAGCGUGGGGAGCGAAACAGGAUUAGAUACCCUGGUAGUCCACGCCCUAAACUAUGUCAACUAGUUGUCGGGCCUUAUUAGGUUUGGUAACGUAGCUAACGCGUGAAGUUGACCGCU
This 510-nucleotide ribosomal RNA is filed under the name uncultured bacterium. Its description in RNAcentral is "bacterial SSU rRNA". It matches the Rfam family "Bacterial small subunit ribosomal RNA", at positions 369 to 873 of the family's 1533-position model. The record is from RNAcentral.